RNAcentral lists this ribosomal RNA (109 nucleotides) under Pteropus alecto (black flying fox). The record is from RNAcentral. Lineage: Eukaryota; Metazoa; Chordata; Mammalia; Chiroptera; Pteropodidae.
GUCUACGGCCAUGCCACCCUGAACAAGCCUGAUGUCUGAUUUCGGGAGCUAAGCAGGGUCGGGCCUAGUUAGAUCGGAAACCACCUAGGAAUACCGAGUGCUGUGGACA